Long non-coding RNA from Gopherus evgoodei (Goodes thornscrub tortoise), 1636 nucleotides. RefSeq lists it as uncharacterized. Lineage: Eukaryota; Metazoa; Chordata; Testudines; Testudinidae. The transcript has 2 exons. The record is from RefSeq and is a predicted model, not a curated record.
ACCUGCCUCACUUCAGCCAGGGGGAAAGAGUCACACUCACAGGAGGUCAGCUUACAAAUGAACCAGCUUAUGAUCAAGUAUAUACGGUACUCUAUGGAACACACCUGCACCUGGAUGGCCGAGAAUUGGACAAAUCAAAAGCAGCUUUAAGCCCCUUUUCUUUCUUGGCUCCCCACCCUGCUCCCCGGAAUUAUAUUUUGCGCUGCUCUGAGACAAUCAUUCUGACUAGCUAACUGAACUAUACUUAAUUGUUCUUGCAUUCAAGUGAAAGCAAAAGGACUCAUCUCAGAAAAUAAUGUUAAUCAAGCCCAUGUUUGCUUUUGUAAUACAAAAGGGUUACUUAAGUAGAUGAAAGAUGGUAAUGAACUUAGAUUUCAUCUGAAGCCUUCCUGGAUAGAUAUAUAAUUAUAUAUAAUUUGAAUAUAAAAGUGAGAAGCAAAUCUAAGUUAAGCAAUCUCUAGAAAUUUUGCAGUUCUGGUAUGUUCUUGUCUGAGCUUCAGGAACUGUUUAUUUGAAUAAUGACAUGAUUUGAUGAGUUAACAAGGUGCAUACAAAGCAAUUGUCUGGAAGUAUCUGUCACAUACUGUAGUUACCUAAGUCAUGUUCCUAAAGAGAAGUUUUUCAAAUACUUGCAUGUAUUGAUUAAUGACAGAACUAGAUGGGCCAUCAGCCAUUACACCUGCUUAAUGACAAACACACUCCUGCUCUCCACAGAAACACAAGUCUCUAAACUAAAAUUAAUUUUGAAAGCUACAAGCUUGGAGGCUUUCCUGUCUUUUGCAUCAUAGUCAGUAUGAAAUUAUAUCUGAAAUCUGUACCUCAUAUUCUUUUAAUUUAUCAUAAUAAGGUGUGAAAUUGUAUGUUGUUCAUUAUGAAUUAUUUAUCCCUGAUCAAGAAUCCAGGGAAGUUAUUCUAAGGAUUUUGAAUUCUAUAUUCUGGGUAUUUUAAUAAGAAUGUUUAUUACAACCAAAGGGAAGUAAUGGUUUUGAUGCUGGUUGAUCAGAUCAUGCCAAAGGUAUUCAGGCCAAUUCACUUGUCUGUUAGUAUACAUCAAAGUGAUUGUUGAAUGUAGAAGAGUAUCUUUGGUGUUUAGAUUUCAUAAAACUAAUGGGACAUUGCUUGUAUUGUUUUCACUUAUCUGUAUUCUGUUAUAAUGCAGUACACACAUUUACAUUGUGUAUACCCCUGUAAUUAAAUAACCCAUCAAAGAAGUCUUGUGGGAUGCAAAUGAAAGACUUUAACAGAAAAGUGCUAAUUUCAAAGCAAAUGGCCAUCAUGUGUGAUGACCAGAGACCAAAGAUUCCUUACUCACCAUAAUCAGAGGAAAAGUCUACGUGAAAAGAGACACUGUCAGCUUGUUUUCUGUCAGAAGAAGAUAUAAAUAUGGACUCAAGGAAAGAUCUUUCAUCUCUGGACAGUUUGGACUCUUACGGGCAAGUGUACCAGAUGCAAAGCGGAGAUCCCAAAACACAAUCUGGGUACCCUGAAAAGACUUUUGGGAAAUUGGCAGUUCAUUACAUCACAACCAACAUUUGGAAUUACAAACCAUGACUUACUUCUUAAUAUAUUUUACUAGCUUUAACCUCUCAAUAACUCUCAUUUCCUUUUCUUAGCUAAUAAACCUUUAUUUAGUUUA